CCUACGGGUGGCAGCAGUCGAGAAUCAUUCACAAUGGGGGAAACCCUGAUGGUGCGACGCCGCGUGGGGGAAUGAAGGUCUUCGGAUUGUAAACCCCUGUCAUGUGGGAGCAAAUUAAAAAGAUAGUACCACAAGAGGAAGAGCCGGCUAACUCUGUGCCAGCAGCGGCGGUAAUACAGAGGUCUCAAGCGUUGUUCGGAAUGACUGGGCGUAAAGCGUGCGUAGGCUGUUUCGUAAGUCGUGGGUGAAAGGCGCGGGCUCAACCCGCGGACGGCAGAUGAUACUGCGAGACUAGAGUAAUGGAGGGGGAACUGGAAGUCGUGGUGUAGCGGGGAAAUGCGUAGAUAUCGAGAGGAACACUGGUGGCGAAGGCGGGUUCCUGGACAUUAACUGACGCUGAGGCACGAAGGCCAGGGGAGCGAAAGGGAUUAGAUACCCUUGUAGUC
This 446-nucleotide ribosomal RNA is filed under the name uncultured bacterium. Its description in RNAcentral is "partial 16S ribosomal RNA". It matches the Rfam family "Bacterial small subunit ribosomal RNA", at positions 338 to 795 of the family's 1533-position model. The record is from RNAcentral.